UACGUAGGGAGCAAGCGUUGUCCGGAAUUACUGGGCGUAAAGGGUGCGUAGGCGGCCUGGUAAGUCAGAUGUGAAAUACCCGUGCUUAACAUGGGGGGUGCAUCUGAUACUGUCAGGCUUGAGUGCAGGAGAGGAAAGCGGAAUUCCUAGUGUAGCGGUGAAAUGCAUAGAUAUUAGGAGGAACACCAGUGGCGAAGGCGGCUUUCUGGACUGUAACUGACGCUGAGGCACGAAAGCGUGGGGAGCAAACAGG
Molecule: ribosomal RNA, 253 nt
Filed under: uncultured bacterium
Lineage: Bacteria
Description: partial 16S ribosomal RNA
Rfam family: Bacterial small subunit ribosomal RNA
Source: RNAcentral